This 354-nucleotide unclassified non-coding RNA is filed under the name soil metagenome. RNAcentral describes it as "partial contains 5.8S ribosomal RNA, internal transcribed spacer 2, and large subunit ribosomal RNA". The stretch from base 1 to 121 matches the Rfam family "5.8S ribosomal RNA", at positions 35 to 154 of the family's 154-position model. The record is from RNAcentral.
GAUGAAGAACGCAGCGAAAUGCGAUAAGUAAUGCGAAUUGCAGAAUUUCCGUGAGUCAUCGAAUCUUUGAACGCACAUUGCGCCCCCUGGUAUUCCGGGGGGCAUGCCUGUCCGAGCGUCAUUGCUGCCCAUCAAGCACGGCUUGUGUGUUGGGUCGUCGUCCCCCCCUCCGGGGGGGGACGGGCCCUAAAGGCAGCGGCGGCACCGCGUCCGAUCCUCGAGCGUAUGGGGCUUUGUCACCCGCUCUGUAGGCCCGGCCGGCGCUUGCCGAACGCAAAACAACCAUUCUUUCCAGGUUGACCUCGGAUCAGGUAGGGAUACCCGCUGAACUUAAGCAUAUCAAUAAGCGGAGGA